GCACUGCGCACCUCCACUUUUUGUGGGUUGCAAAAUUAGUAUAAAUUAACUUUGUAUUUAUUUUUUUAUUUUCUUCAAAUAAAUUCAUUUUAACAAACCCUAGUUUUCAUAUAUUUUUUUUCUGCAAAAUCGAUUCAGCUCUCAGGUUUCGAAAAUCAUCUUCUGCUCUGCUUGGUUCUUGAUGAAGGUUUUGGAAGGUUAGAUUAGUGAAGUUGCUGCCAACAUGAAAUUCAGGAAAGGGAGUAAAGUGGAGGUAUUGAACAAAAAGGAAGUGCCUUCAGGUGCCUGGCACUGUGCUGAAAUUAUCUCCGGUAAUGGGCACAACUACAGUGUUAGGUAUGACUCUUAUCUGGGCAUGACAAAUAAGGCGAAUGUGGAUAGGGUGUCUAGGAAGGCUAUUAGACCUUGCCCUCUCCCUGUGAAAGGUAUGGAAAGUUGGGUGACUGGUGAUGUUGUGGAGGUGUUCAAUGAUGGUUCUUGGAAAUGUGCUAUGGUUUUGAAGGUUACAUGUGCGGUUUACUAUUUGGUUAGGCUACUUGGAUCUUGCCACGAAUUUGAAGUCCACAAGUCUAACAUCAGAGUGCGACAAGCUUGGAUAGAUAACAAAUGGGUUGUGAUUGGACAGGGCUCUAUCACUUUUGAAGAUGUGAGAGUCAACAAGCUGUUAACUUCAAAUUGUCAUCAGAAGAUGAGUUUCCAGGUGCCACAAGCUGAUAUGAAGCUAAAAUUGCAAGCAGGAGAUGCUUUUUUUAAGAAGCAUGCUGAUUUCCAGGAUUCUCCUAUGGUCUCAUCCAAGACAUUGAAGAGAGCAUCCCCAUAUUGCUCCUCUGGUCUUGAAGCAUACUCUGGAAACAUUCAGAAGAUGAGAGCAAUCGAAAAUGGUGGACGCCAACGAGUGAUCACCGGGUAUUCAUCUCCAUUACGAGACAAGGGCCAAAGUUGGAGGCAUGCAUGCCUUGCUUCCAAAGGUCUAAAGAUGAUGCGGGGUUUUCAGGCUUGCUGUGAACCGUUGAUGCGUCUUAUGUCAGAGAAAGUAAAAACAAAAAUUUGACAAAGCUGGCAUGAAUUUCCUGAUAUGGAAGAUUGCAAAGAGUCCCCCAUAAUUGUAGCCAGGGAGCACAUGCAUCCUUCUUCAGGAAUGACCCAUCCCCACCUUCAGUUAAAGAUGCAACAAUGGAUUUAACAAAGAAUUUCUGCGAUGGAAAUUUUUCCUGAUAUAAAUGGGUUUGAGCUAUAUACAUGUAAAAGUCUAUUAAAGAAUUUUGCUUAUCCUAUCCCAACUCUACUAAUACGGAUUUUUGAUCUGUUGUAUCUUUUCUUCUGACCAACUCAGAUAUUCUACUAUCUUUUAGUUGUUGUCUACAGCUAUAUGAUGAAGUAUGGGAACAAAAUCUUUAUGGUGUUUGGAUUUUUUUGAAGACAUGGGAAGGGUUUGAGUAAAAUGAGCCCUGAGGGGUAGCUCAGUUGGUCCGGCCUUGGGUUUGCUCCCCAAUGGUCACUAGUUCGAGUCCCCUCAAGGCCACUAGAGGAUUGUCUGGUCGUUUACUUCAGGGCUCCAUGGGAUUAGUUGAGGAUCUGAAUUAUUCAGAUUCAACAGGAUCAUAUGUUCUUUGAUUCUCAAAAAGCUUGACCUCCUUCCUAGUUAAUUGGGUGAAAAAAGAGGACCUUGAGACACGUAGUUACAAGGUUGGGGCAGAGGUGAUACUUUCAAAUUGUAGUGAUCAUUUGAAAAACCUGAAAGGCAAUUCCAUUGGAUCAGUCAAUGACAACUGGUCAGAUGAUUAAGCACAAGGUUUUUGUAUUUGUGAUUCUGAUGAUGCUCGCCAUAAGAAGAAAACCUUGAGGCUAUUAUUGGUUCAUUGAAGACUUGGUAAUAGAUGAGUUGUUGAGGAAUGACCAUGAAGAGGAGAUCCCUCGAUACCUUAAGUCUUGUGAGACCGGUGGUAUAUUCAGCCCUCUUUAACUGUUUUUGAUCUGUUACAUAUUGUUGUUUAGUCUGGAUUUUUAUCUUUUCUAGUUUCUUUUUUUUCCCUGGGUUUUGGAAGGCAUUGGUGGGCAGACUGCAUUUGACUCUGUUAUCAUUUACAGCUAGGUUUACUAUUUGUGGAAAUUGCGAGCUUCGGCUGUAUUUUCCAUCUCUGAAGCACUUACAUGGGACGGCAAUUGGGAAGAGUUGUGACGCCCAUUCCAAGGUCCUGCAUGUGGGUUAGUGACAAAACUAUCCGCUCUUUUUUCUUUUCAAUUUAAUUUUUUCCUAUUAUUAUUUUAUAUAUAUAUAUAUAUAAAUCUAAGAAAUGCUUUGUUAAUUUUUAUAAAGAUUAAAGAAUUGCAGUUUGUAAUUUGUAAAA
Molecule: RNA transcript, 2348 nt
Organism: Vitis riparia (riverbank grape)
Lineage: Eukaryota; Viridiplantae; Streptophyta; Magnoliopsida; Vitales; Vitaceae
Exons: 8
Source: RefSeq, a predicted model, not a curated record